Molecule: long non-coding RNA, 412 nt
Organism: Bos taurus (domestic cattle)
Lineage: Eukaryota; Metazoa; Chordata; Mammalia; Artiodactyla; Bovidae
Source: Ensembl
GACUCUCCUCAAGCCUAGAAAAUGGGUGCUGCUUGAAAUCUAUUGUCUGCUGAGAAUGCGGAAAACCAAGCCUUGAGUGUUGGUAAAUUUCUGAGUGAGGAAAUUCUCUUGUCUAUGAGAACUAUGACCUUCCAGCUUAGAUGUAUUGAUAUUUCUCACAUACUUUGGCAUCAUGUCUCAGACUCCUGUGGCCUGCUACCAUAUUAUCUAAUGUGCUGAUUCCUAGACAUUCUCAUUGAAGAUCACAAUCUGUAUGAUUUCAGUACCUUUAGACCAUGAAACUUUUGCACCUGGUUUUAUGUCCCUGGAUAUGUUCCAGUGUCUCCUGGUUUAUAGUCUAUGGGAACUUGAAUAAAAUUUGUAUCCUGCUAUUGUGUGAAAACUGCAUAAAUCUUAAUUAUGUUGAAUUGGU